GCUCCAGAAGAAUGGGGUUGCUAUGAUUGGGAUGCUGAGAUGGGGUAACUACAGAAGAGCUCAAUCAGAAAGAAGAGUAGGAAUCACUUGCUACUCUUGUAGAGGACCCAGGCUUCCGGUGGCAACAUUUUCAAAGAGAUGACAAAAGACUGAGGAAAAGCAUGCACAGGAGACAAGUGCUUGAGAAUUCCAUAUCAACAGAAAUAUUGACAGCUUGUUCUGAAAUGAAACAGAUAUGAAGGAAGGCAAUGGCCCUGUAAAUUCUAUUAA
This is a long non-coding RNA of Mastomys coucha (southern multimammate mouse), 270 nucleotides long. RefSeq lists it as uncharacterized. The transcript is spliced from 3 exons. The record is from RefSeq and is a predicted model, not a curated record. NCBI's taxonomy places the organism in Eukaryota, Metazoa, Chordata, Mammalia, Rodentia, Muridae.